CCCCCCCGUAUAUGCCGCUAUCAUCACGGUUUCACACAGGAAAAGCAGCCUUUGCCAGGCGGUGGGUAUCUUGGUCUUUUUUAAGAGAUAACAGUUUUGAUUUUUUUUUUUAUUUAUUUUUACAGGAGCAAAGUUGCUGGAUAUUUCUCGCUGCUGCUGCAUGGGAGCAGGGAACCAGGCGCACACGAAGCUAGGAAGGAGACUGCAGCCCUGUUGCGUCCUCUAAUGUCUCCAGCUUGUAGCUACCAGCCUCAGGGCCAUUUCCAUCCCUCAGGGAAUGGAUUGCCCUGUCCAAGAAGCAGCCGAAAGCAGAUGAAUCAUGAACACAACUGUACCGGUGCAGUUUUACAAGCGACCUGGUUGGGACUCUGUAAGAACGGGGAAUCUAGAGAGUGGCUGGGUCGAAAACGCUAAGCCCCCAACCCAACUCCCACUGAGGUCUCUGCUUCCUUUUUAUGACUUCCCCCAAUUAGAUGACACAGUUCCACCUCCUCACAGCCUAAUGAGCCACAGCUGCCAGCCCUUCUCUGCACGGGGGACAGUCUCGAAGGGCUCUCUGUUGAGAAAGCUUAACUCCUUGCUAGCCCAGACUGGCCACAUGUACCCAAGCACUGCCCUCUGCUAUGGAUAAUUACUGUAGUAUUUCUAUUGUGUGUUCACCAAGGAAGACUCCAAAGUCCUUUGCAUUCCUACCAAAAAGAAACAUGAACCAUAAUGAGAGAUCAAGUAUCCUUACUACUGGAAUGCAGCUAUUUCUGGGGUGGAACAUGACAGCUUGUAGACCAUGCACAGUUACACUGCCCAACAAUUAAGG
RNAcentral lists this long non-coding RNA (814 nucleotides) under Crocodylus porosus (Australian saltwater crocodile). Its description in RNAcentral is "lncRNA (ENSCPRG00005001198.1)". Lineage: Eukaryota; Metazoa; Chordata; Crocodylia; Crocodylidae. The record is from RNAcentral.